This 253-nucleotide ribosomal RNA is filed under the name uncultured bacterium. RNAcentral's name for it is "partial 16S ribosomal RNA". It matches the Rfam family "Bacterial small subunit ribosomal RNA", at positions 524 to 776 of the family's 1533-position model. The record is from RNAcentral.
GACAGAGGGUGCAAACGUUGUUCGGAAUUACUGGGCGUAAAGCGCGUGUAGGCUGCUCUGCAAGUCGGAUGUGAAAGCCCUGGGCUCAACCUAGGAAGUGCACUCGAAACUGCAGAGCUUGAGUCUUGGAGAGGAAGGCGGAAUUCUCGGUGUAGAGGUGAAAUUCGUAGAUAUCGAGAGGAACACCGGUGGCGAAGGCGGCCUUCUGGACAGUGACUGACGCUGAGACGCGAAAGCGUGGGGAGCAAACAGG